This 494-nucleotide ribosomal RNA is filed under the name uncultured bacterium. RNAcentral's name for it is "partial 16S ribosomal RNA". It matches the Rfam family "Bacterial small subunit ribosomal RNA", at positions 28 to 507 of the family's 1533-position model. The record is from RNAcentral.
GACGAACGCUGGCGGCGUGCUUAACACAUGCAAGUCGAACGGAAAGGCCUGCUUUCCCUUGUGGAUUGCGGGUACUCGAGUGGCGAACGGGUGAGUAACACGUGAGUGAUCUGCCCCCAACUUGGGUAUAAGCCUGGGAAACUGGGUCUAAUUCCCGAUAGGACUGCAGGGUGGUGCCUGUGGUGGAACACGAUUUUCUAGUGGUUGGGGAUGAGCUCGCGGCCUAUCAGCUUGUUGGUGGGGUAAUGGCCUACCAAGGCGGCGACGGGUAGCCGGCCUGAGAGGGUGGACGGCCACAUUGGGACUGAGAUACGGCCCAGACUCCUACGGGAGGCAGCAGUGGGGAAUAUUGCACAAUGGGCGGAAGCCUGAUGCAGCGACGCCGCGUGGGGGAUGACGGCCUUCGGGUUGUAAACUCCUUUCGACCGCGAGGAAGCCACAUGGUUGGAAGGGUGGUGACGGUAGUGGUAGAAGAAGCACCGGCUAACUACGUG